Molecule: ribosomal RNA, 550 nt
Filed under: uncultured bacterium
Lineage: Bacteria
Description: bacterial SSU rRNA
Rfam family: Bacterial small subunit ribosomal RNA
Source: RNAcentral
AAUAGAUACCCGGGUAGUCCACGCCGUAAACGGUGGGCACUAGGUGUGGGCGACAUUCCACGUCGUCCGUGCCGCAGCUAACGCAUUAAGUGCCCCGCCUGGGGAGUACGGCCGCAAGGCUAAAACUCAAAGGAAUUGACGGGGGCCCGCACAAGCGGCGGAGCAUGUGGCUUAAUUCGACGCAACGCGAAGAACCUUACCAAGGCUUGACAUACACCGGAAAACCCUGGAGACAGGGUCCCCCUUGUGGUCGGUGUACAGGUGGUGCAUGGCAGUCGUCAGCUCGUGUCGUGAGAUGUUGGGUUAAGUCCCGCAACGAGCGCAACCCUUGUCCCGUGUUGCCAGCAGGCCCUUGUGGUGCUGGGGACUCACGGGAGACCGCCGGGGUCAACUCGGAGGAAGGUGGGGACGACGUCAAGUCAUCAUGCCCCUUAUGUCUUGGGCUGCACACGUGCUACAAUGGCCGGUACAAUGAGCUGCGAUACCGCGAGGUGGAGCGAAUCUCAAAAACGCCGGUCUCAGUUCGGAUUGGGGUCUGCAACUCGACCCC